CCUACGGGUGGCAGCAGUGGGGAAUAUUGGACAAUGGGCGAAAGCCUGAUCCAGCCAUGCCGCGUGUGUGAAGAAGGCCUUCGGGUUGUAAAGCACUUUCAGUGGGGAAGAAAGCCUUGGGGCUAAUACCCUCGAGGAAGGACAUCACCCACAGAAGAAGCACCGGCUAACUCCGUGCCAGCAGCCGCGGUAAUACGGAGGGUGCGAGCGUUAAUCGGAAUUACUGGGCGUAAAGCGCGCGUAGGCGGUCUGAUAAGCCGGUUGUGAAAGCCCCGGGCUCAACCUGGGAACGGCAUCCGGAACUGUCAGGCUAGAGUGCAGGAGAGGAAGGUAGAAUUCCUGGUGUAGCGGUGAAAUGCGUAGAGAUCGGGAGGAAUACCAGUGGCGAAGGCGGCCUUCUGGACUGACACUGACGCUGAGGUGCGAAAGCGUGGGUAGCAAACAGGAUUAGAUACCCCGGUAUC
This 464-nucleotide ribosomal RNA is filed under the name Vreelandella stevensii. Its description in RNAcentral is "partial 16S ribosomal RNA". It matches the Rfam family "Bacterial small subunit ribosomal RNA", at positions 338 to 794 of the family's 1533-position model. The record is from RNAcentral. Lineage: Bacteria; Pseudomonadati; Pseudomonadota; Gammaproteobacteria; Oceanospirillales; Halomonadaceae.